Non-coding RNA from Pelobates cultripes (western spadefoot toad), 126 nucleotides. Lineage: Eukaryota; Metazoa; Chordata; Amphibia; Anura; Pelobatidae. The record is from the annotation of a GenBank genome assembly.
GAUGUGCAUACAGCAAACAAAAACAACGUUUUGUUUCUUGAAAAAGACCCUCAGGGGUCGAAACAUCGACCCCUGAGGGUCUUUUUCAAGAAACAAAACGUUGUUUUUGUUUGCUGUAUGCACAUC